This 497-nucleotide ribosomal RNA is filed under the name uncultured bacterium. Its description in RNAcentral is "partial 16S ribosomal RNA". It matches the Rfam family "Bacterial small subunit ribosomal RNA", at positions 28 to 507 of the family's 1533-position model. The record is from RNAcentral.
GACGAACGCUGGCGGCGUGCCUAAUACAUGCAAGUAGAACGCUGAAGAGAGGAGCUUACUCUUCUUGGAUGAGUUGCGAACGGGUGAGUAACGCGUAGGUAACCUGCCUUGUAGCGGGGGAUAACUAUUGGAAACGAUAGCUAAUACCGCAUAACAAUGGAUGACACAUGUCAUUUAUUUGAAAGGGGCAAUUGCUCCACUACAAGAUGGACCUGCGUUGUAUUAGCUAGUAGGUGAGGUAAUGGCUCACCUAGGCGACGAUACAUAGCCGACCUGAGAGGGUGAUCGGCCAAACUGGGACUGAGACACGGCCCAGACUCCUACGGGAGGCAGCAGUAGGGAAUCUUCGGCAAUGGGGGCAACCCUGACCGAGCAACGCCGCGUGAGUGAAGAAGGUUUUCGGAUCGUAAAGCUCUGUUGUAGGUCAAGAACGGGUGUGAGAGUGGAAAGUUCACACUGUGACGGUAGCUUACCAGAAAGGGACGGCUAACUACGUG